UGUCUACUCACAUGAUACAUAUGUAAAACUGGAAUGUCUCAGAGAUGAGUAUGGCCCCCUGCACAAUAAUGACAUGCAAAUUCCUGAAACCUUCCAUAUUUUU
Small nuclear RNA from Mastomys coucha (southern multimammate mouse), 103 nucleotides. The record is from RefSeq and is a predicted model, not a curated record. NCBI's taxonomy places the organism in Eukaryota, Metazoa, Chordata, Mammalia, Rodentia, Muridae.